Long non-coding RNA from Papaver somniferum (opium poppy), 4241 nucleotides. RefSeq lists it as uncharacterized. NCBI's taxonomy places the organism in Eukaryota, Viridiplantae, Streptophyta, Magnoliopsida, Ranunculales, Papaveraceae. The transcript is spliced from 4 exons. The record is from RefSeq and is a predicted model, not a curated record.
GGUAACUCACAAAAGUGAGUGAUGCACCUAUAUUGCCAUCUUUUAAGCAGAAUUUUCUGCUUGAUGCCAAUCAGGAAGGAGAUAAGAUUCUUCGUUGCUUGGAACAUCGCAACCGGAUUAGCUGCUUGAACAAAUGGUAAAGAAAGACUGAUUUGAAGAAUGGGUGAUUUUGGAUGGUAUCCUUCUUUACAAUCUUUUCGUAGAUGCUAUUUUCUUUCUAUAUUUAGUUUGGGUAGUGUUUUAUCUGUUUGGGGUUAACAGGUUUGGUCAUUUUUUUACUCAUGUUUGUAUUAGUUGUGUGUUUAAAUGUUCAGAGUUCAGGUGUGUGAUUCAAACCGUAUCAGUAGAGGACACGUUUUUUUUCCAUGUCAUACCGUAGACGAUAGUAUGGAUCCUUUCAAAUUAAUUCGGUUGGAAGUAGUUUUUCUGUUUUUUUCAUUCAUGUUUGUAUAGAUGUGUCUGUUCUAACGAACGUUGGAUAUUUUAAGAGGCAAGUACAAAUAUUUGGGGAUGCUUUAUUGUCUGACCUAAAUCUUUUCCCUUUUAAAUGGAUCUUCUGAACAAUCAUGUUGAUCUGCUUAUCUUAUAGUAUGCUUUCCCUAUAUUUUUGUCAGUUGUCUUUGUGACUCUUAGCACUGAUCCCCAUAUAUGUAAACUUUUACGCCAAUUGGUAAAUCCUUGCAGGACUAGCAGACCAAUUUUCCAUUAACAUACUCAUCUCUGAGAAAUAUUGUUCAUUGGCUGUACUUUAAUAGAUUGGCCCUCAGCUCUGUACCAUUUUAAAGUUUUGUAACAAAUUAUAUUUGGACACAGGUCCAAUGAAGUCCCCUUGGCUAUUGAGGUUCUGUCUAUAGUGUUAAAAAAGAAUGAUUUCUAGGAAUACGGCAAAGGGAAAGAUUUCCAUCAUAGGUUACCGCUCUUCUUAAAAAAAAGAAUUCAUAAACUUAACCGACAAAUAUGUGUUAUCCAGAUAUAUCUUGAUGAUUAAAUUUGUUUUGGUAUGGCAGCACGAAGACGUAAUGCCCUGGGAAACUCCAGGUUUUUGUAGAACAAUGUGGUCUUCUUCUCAUGAUGAGCUUGCUGCUGUCUGAUUUUUGAUAGCGGAUGGUUAAAUGGUAAGAGUAAUUUGGAACCGAUAAAUUUUAUAUUUAUGAUUAAUUGGCAUUUUUAUAAACCGGUAACAAUUUAUUGGCAUAUUGGUUCUCAGUGUACUGGAUUGGGUACUCAAGGUAUUCUCCGUAAUAGGCUAAGACAUCUUUAAUUUGUUUGUAAUAUUUUCUUACUUAUUGGACGUCUCAUUUCUGGAGAUUCUCUUUAAGUAAACGCAAGUCUGAACAAAGAUUUUUAAAACUAAGAACUUCGCUAGAUCGUGCAUAGAAAUGAAGGUAGACUAAAUCUCUAACCUUGAUUAUAUCUGCUUUACGAUUUCAUAUACAUACUAUAUGGAGUUCUUGACUAUGGCUAUAGAAAAACAAAUUAUUAUAAAUAUAUUUUUGAUUAAGAUUGAUCCAAAAAGUAGUCGUAAAAGGUUUGUUCAAGUAAAGGCAUCCAUAUCAGCUGUUGGCUAAAACAUAGAAAAUUAUCAAGUAUAAGUAAAUGUCUCUGACCGUUAUCAUCUAAGACAGUGGUCAUCGGUAAGGAAAGGCAGCAUGUAUAUUACAAGCAUAUUGGUAAGAGGUAGACAAACAAUGAUGGUAAGAGGUGUUGAAGUUUCAAUUGGAUGUCUCAUAUGGGUCCUUCUAUAACAAUUUAACAUUAUGCAAAGGAAUACUAUUUGGUGGUUUGGUCUAUUGAUUUACUUGAAUGGGUGUUUGCUUUUUGUUACUGUUCAUCCUAUUUUUAUUUCAUUAGGAAUCUUCCUAUUGUAAUUCCUAUGAGAAGUGUAUGCAUUCGACAUACUGCAAGUUUGAUUUCUAUCUGAACUUCUCAUUCUCAUGAUGGUAAUUAGAGUACAAAAGCUAGAAGGUAUUAUGCAUUACUGCAAGUUUGAUUUCUAUCUGAACUUCUCAUUUUCCGAAUUGCAAUUAAAGUAGUGUAUUUGAAUAUGUAUCUAGAUAACGAUGACAUAAACAGGUGCUCAAACAGUUCAUUGAAGUCUGUAGGGGAACAAAUGACUUUGUGCAAUUUUCUCUCACCAGUAUCCAAUUAACUUCUCCAUCUGUCUCAGAUUUCAGUUGUUGCACAGAGUCAACAAGAUUAUUGUUAAAAUAUCCUUAAUGUUAUUGGAGUUAUUCAGACAUGAUAGAAUAUAACCCUUAUGACUGAACAAAACCGUGAAAAGUUUUUAAUCCACUCUUAGCACUCCCUCACCUUCUAUAAUUCGUCUUUGGAGACCUGAAGCCGAGUAAACCUCAUAUACCAGUGGUCAAGAUUGGUGCCUCUCAAACAGAAAUGGAUCAUCAAGCAGAAUAUUUGAUGCAACAAACUUAUCUUUUCUCAGAGGUAAAUUACUAGCAACUAAGCUGCCUGUGGUGAUAGAUAUGCACAAUUUCGAGGAAAAGCUUGCAUGAAGUCAGCAGCAUGUUAUUUUUUGUCCUUCCACGGGUCUAUUGCUCCAGAAUAUGGAUAGCUUGGUUAGGUUUUUGUUCCUUAACUCUCUUAUCAAUCUAUUAUUAUAACAUAUCUGAAACUUAGAUGGAGGUUUUAUUAUUCUUAGUUAGCGAAACCAUUUGAUGGAAAUGGAAAUAAAUGAGUGAUGAUUCGAUUCCCCUACUAAUAGUAGUUGCUUAAGUAGUCAUCUGUUCAAACAUAUUGUUUGAUAAUGAUUUUAUAUUACUUGCAAUUACACUGCUCAUGAGGUGCAUUGAAUGUCGAUCAAGGAUGUGAACGAGGUGUAUCCUACAUGUUUGAUAACACUUCUUAAAUCAGCUAAUUGCAUCAUCCACAAUACUUAUUUCGCUGCCCGAGUUGCGCUCUUCAAAGAACGAAGUACUUCUUGAACUAUUGUUAAAAGGCCAUCUAAAGGUAAAAGACGUUGAUGCACAUGUGCAUCUAUUUUACUUUCACAAAACAUUCUUCAUGAAAUCUGAACUGUACCAGGGAUCCUCAGCUGCAAGAAAGUAGACCGAUUCUAUCAUUUAUAUAUUUACAGUUGCAUCAUAUACAUGAUCGCAAAGUUUUACUAUCUCAGUUCCAUAUGUAGUAGAUGUGUAUUCUGUGUGGCUGGACCUUCUGAGAAUCCCUCACUGUUUAAACUAACCCAUGAUUUAUGUGCACGAGUAUGAAUCUGUGGCGCAAUGGUAGCGCGUCUGACUCCAUGUCAGAAGGUUGCGUGUUCGCAUCACGCCAGGUUGCUUUAGUUCUUAUGGUCUUACACCUUUUGGUUGAACAUACAGAAAAAACUGCAUAUAUUAAUAGUUUUGGGACUUCACAAAAUUAUUAAUAUAUGGAGUUCAUCAAUAUAGGGAGGUAUGGCAGGUACUUUCAUUUUUAAUCGGGAAAACUAGAUUUGUCUAGCUAGGUACUUUCUUCUCUUUCAUCUUCAGAUUUUACACUCAAAGAAAUUUGUGUAUUUUCAGUUUAAGAGUCUUCAAUUUCUGUACAUGAUUAGUAUUCUUCUUCAUCUUCAAAGGUUUCUAUGGUUCUUCAGGACCCAAAAAUACUUGGUAAAUGAAAAAUACUUGCUAAAUAUAUACGAUCUUCAUUAGCAGCUUGAGUUGUGCAUAUUCUGAAACACAUAUUCAAUCGCCAUUCUAUACUUCAACGUAUUUUAGUAAUCAAAGUAUCAAACUCAUAUCUGACGGUUUAGUCGCUGAGAAUCUCAAAUAGUAUGUACAAUUUCCUGAUCAUUCCUUAUCUGAAUGCUUCUUACGCGAGUUGUUAUUUAUUCUCAUUUGGAGUCUGUCAUGUACUUAUGCUUUCAGUCCUUACUCCUGCAGUCCUUCUAUUGAUGUAAUAAGUUAUUUUCUUUCGAUAUGCAGCUAGAAAUGUUGAACCAGAAGGGUGUCAUGAAACAUGGGGUACUGUUGAGUUUGAAAAUACGUCGGAUUUUAAGUAUGGAUGUUUUCAUUUUGAAAUUGAAGAUGUUCGUACUUCGUAGUGAAGCUGUUGAUGAGGUUGUCUUUGUAGAAACUGAAGAUGCUUAUUGUCGAAACCUGAUGAGAUUUUUAUACUCUUUUCCUUUUAUUGAAAUUUUUUGUGACAUCUCAAAAUUUCCCUUUGCUUAUCUUUCUAUUUGUUACUUUGGAAGCAGCAGUACAUGCAAAAAUAGAAUCCCAACAUGACUGCACUAAUAUGUCAUA